Long non-coding RNA from Canis lupus familiaris (dog), 524 nucleotides. RefSeq lists it as uncharacterized. The record is from RefSeq and is a predicted model, not a curated record. NCBI's taxonomy places the organism in Eukaryota, Metazoa, Chordata, Mammalia, Carnivora, Canidae. The transcript has 3 exons.
CGUCGGGAGCUGCGCGGGGGUUCUGCGCAGGGGCUCUCUGGCCUCCCGCCCGCCCCGUGCGGGGACCGUAGGGGCUCCAGGCACCACCGCACCCUGCCUCUUUUCGAGCGUUAGACGUGGAACUGGGCGCUAAGGACCCAAUGGGGCAGGGCGGGCGAGGGCUCUGCUUUCAAGCAAUUUCCUUUCUAAUGGGAGGGAGGGCAGAUUUCUCGGAAACAAGGUUAAUUUCCUAAAGCGACCAGUUCCGUCAGGGCAACAAAACACUAAGGAGGUAGAAAGCGAUGGAUGGGGUGUGGGACGGAGAUUCUUGCGGAAAUUCUUGCGAAAAGCUUCCUGGAUACCAACCCCCCGCCGUUCCCCUAAAGAAAAAGUUAAGAGGAGAGAUUGUCAACUCCACGAGGAUGAAGCCAUGUUCUGCUCACCAUUGUUUCCCCAGGGCCCAGUGCUAGCCCUGGACACAGCAAGUGCUUAAAUAUGUAUUGAAUGAAUAAAGUUGGAAGGCAAGUUUAUUUUUAUUUAUUUUU